ACAAGCUUGAAGCUGAGUUUCCACUGGAUAGCCUCCAGAAGCGACUUGAAAACUUGGAGAAGGCCAAAGUGGAGAAGAAAAAGCCUUCCGGUGCUGGUCCUGCCAACAAGCGGACCCGAGCCAAUAAUGGGGGACCGAUGCCACCUGCCAAGGCUGGUCGUCUCACAAACAAUGCCUGUGUCUCCUCCUUCCCUGCUGGUCCUGCCUAUGUACGAUCGCCGUCAGCCCACACCACCUACCCAGC
This 244-nucleotide long non-coding RNA is filed under the name Musa acuminata (dwarf banana). RNAcentral's name for it is "long non-coding RNA (MACU_LNC003701)". The record is from RNAcentral. Lineage: Eukaryota; Viridiplantae; Streptophyta; Magnoliopsida; Zingiberales; Musaceae.